RNAcentral lists this ribosomal RNA (446 nucleotides) under uncultured bacterium. Its description in RNAcentral is "bacterial SSU rRNA". It matches the Rfam family "Bacterial small subunit ribosomal RNA", at positions 330 to 792 of the family's 1533-position model. The record is from RNAcentral.
ACCAGACUCCUACGGGAGGCAGCAGUGGGGAAUAUUGCACAAUGGGGGAAACCCUGAUGCAGCAACGCCGCGUGAGUGAAGAAGUAUUUCGGUAUGUAAAGCUCUAUCAGCAGGAACGAGACAAGACGGUACCUGACUAAGAAGCCCCGGCUAACUACGUGCCAGCAGCCGCGGUAAUACGUAGGGGGCAAGCGUUAUCCGGAAUCACUGGGUGUAAAGGGAGCGUAGACGGCUGUGCAAGCCUGAAGUGAAAGGCGGGGGCCCAACCCCUGGACUGCUUUGGGAACUGUACGGCUGGAGUGCAGGAGAGGUAAGUGGAAUUCCUAGUGUAGCGGUGAAAUGCGUAGAUAUUAGGAGGAACACCGGUGGCGAAGGCGGCUUACUGGACUGUAACUGACGUUGAGGCUCGAAAGCGUGGGGAGCAAACAGGAUUAGAUACCCUUGUA